Molecule: small RNA, 1111 nt
Filed under: Arabidopsis thaliana (thale cress)
Lineage: Eukaryota; Viridiplantae; Streptophyta; Magnoliopsida; Brassicales; Brassicaceae
Description: ATSL291050
Source: RNAcentral
UAUUAUAAUACUUGGCUUUUGGGACAUAUUCUUAGAGAUCUUUAAGAUAUGUAUAUUGUAAAAUCUUAACAUAUGUUGAAAGCUCAAUUAUAUAAUAUUACUAUAUGUCAAAUUAUUUUGAGACUACAUAAUGCAUAUCUAAUAAUUGUGUUUACAAUAAUCCUAUAUAAAUAGAGGUUGAUGAGCAAGCGACUAAGUUGCAAUCACAUUUCGUUUGGAUCAUCUAUCACCAACUUUCAAACUUUCAAUUUUUUUUAUAGUUUCCUAGUUUUUGGAAAAAUGGUUUUACUUUUUGUAAGAAACUUGUACAACAAAACAUAAAUAUAACUACACAUAUUAGACGAAGUUAUUGCGUAUAUUAAAAAUUUAUAAAAGACUUGAUUGGAUUUUAUUGUUUGCAGAAAGAGGAGCUUCAAUUUAAGGUUGGAUCUAUUGACGAAGGGACUAGAUAUGACGCAUUACGAUGUAUCGCUAAUUGUGAAGGUACACCAACUCAACCAAAUAUGUAGUUGUAUUGAGCUAAAAUAAACCAUUCGUUAGAGAUAUAGGGAUUUUAUGUAGAUCAUUUUAUUAGGCUUAAUAUUUUAGUCAUUUACUUAUUUGGUAAAUAACAAGAAUAUACAUUCAUUCAUUGUUGAUUGAAAAAACUUGGACAUGAUAAAUUGGUAUGUGACUUCCAAUAUUUUAUAAUGUAUAUUUUGUAGAUGGAUGGAUAGAAUAAUAACCAACACAUUAAAAUGGCAAUAUAUAACACAUUUUCACUAAAAAUGUUUUGCCAUAAACUGCAAGUUCUCUAAAUUAAACAAUGUUUACAAAUGUUUUUAUUUUGUUUUGUUUUGUUAGGAGUUGCUUUUGUUGAUUUUGAUGAGGAAGAGGCCACAAUAAUUGUGAAGAGAGAAAAACUCGAUGAAUGUAAAAUUAAGAAAAAAUUAGAUAAAUUUUUGAAUGAAUCUAAAGGAGGAUGUUUCUCUUGUUUUAGUCGCUAAUAAUUUUUGGAGAAGAAGUGAAGUGAACUGGUAAUGGAAAUCAACUUUCAAAAUAAAAUGAAGUUAAAAGAAAUUACAAAUAGAUUCUCAUUUGUAUUUCUCCCUAUUAUAAUCUACAACAUCAU